Molecule: transfer RNA, 83 nt
Filed under: archaeon
Lineage: Archaea
Description: tRNA-Ser
Rfam family: tRNA
About the family: Transfer RNA (tRNA) molecules are approximately 80 nucleotides in length. Their secondary structure includes four short double-helical elements and three loops (D, anti-codon, and T loops).
Source: RNAcentral
GCCUGGAUCGCAUAAUCUGGUAUUGCGCUGGUCUUGAAAACCAGUUUCCAUUGGAUAUCUGAGUUCAAAUCUCAGUCCAGGCG